GUUCUAAUUAUAGUUCUUGCAGCCAGAAGAACCUGUUGGGUUAGGACAAGCAGGGACAGCCUACAGAUCCAAGCAGAGGGAACCACUUGUUGCCCUGGAAAAGUCUGGAGUUUUACUGCUGCUAAAGAGCCUGGCCAGGUUGUUGCAUGUAACUUCACGGUAAACAGCAGUAGGGCUUCUCCAGCCCAGGGACCAUGACAGAAAGAAGACUCCAGAACUGGGAGUGAAUGAAGGUGUCCUGAACAAGGCCAAAAAGGAAAGUCAGAUCAAGGGUGAGUUCCAUGAGUCUGGGAGGGGACCCAUGCACCAGCGUGGGAAGUGAGAGGAUGAACACCCCAGCUUCCUAGCCCCUCAGAGGUGUUCCACAUCACCUCCCAGAAGUCUCCAGCAAGACUGGGUUCCACAAGGCUACCAGCUUGAUGUCACUGAAGAGGAAGUCAGGGAAAGCGGUGCAAAGAGCCGGUUCUCACAAGACAGUACAAGCCAGCUGCAGCGGACCAGUGACGCGGAAACAUGCACCCGCCUCCAG
This 529-nucleotide long non-coding RNA is filed under the name Equus asinus (donkey). Its description in RNAcentral is "lncRNA (ENSEASG00005025740.1)". Lineage: Eukaryota; Metazoa; Chordata; Mammalia; Perissodactyla; Equidae. The record is from RNAcentral.